Molecule: ribosomal RNA, 496 nt
Filed under: uncultured bacterium
Lineage: Bacteria
Description: partial 16S ribosomal RNA
Rfam family: Bacterial small subunit ribosomal RNA
Source: RNAcentral
GAUGAACGCUGGCGGCGUGCCUAAUACAUGCAAGUCGAGCGAACAGACGAGGAGCUUGCUCCUCUGACGUUAGCGGCGGACGGGUGAGUAACACGUGGAUAACCUACCUAUAAGACUGGGAUAACUCCGGGAAACCGGAGCUAAUACCGGAUAAUAUAUUGAACCGCAUGGUUCAAUAGUGAAAGACGGUUUUGCUGUCACUUAUAGAUGGAUCCGCGCCGCAUUAGCUAGUUGGUAAGGUAACGGCUUACCAAGGCAACGAUGCGUAGCCGACCUGAGAGGGGGACCGCCCCAACGGGAACUGAACCACGGUCCAGCCCCCUACGGGAGGCAGCAGUAGGGAACCUUCCGCAAUGGGGGAAAGCCUGACGGAGCAACGCCGGGGGGGUGAUGAAGGUUUUCGGUUCGUAAAACUCUUUUAUUAGGGAAGAAAAAAUGUGUAAGUAACUAUGCACGUUUUGACGGUACCUAAUCAGAAAGCCACGGCUAACUACGU